CCUACGAGAGGCAGCAGUGGGGGAUAUUGCACAAUGGGGGAAACCCUGAUGCAGCGACGCCGCGUGUGGGAAGACGGUCCUCUGGAUUGUAAACCACUGUCCCCAGGGACGACGAUGACGGUACCUGGGGAGGAAGCUCCGGCUAACUACGUGCCAGCAGCCGCGGUAAUACGUAGGGAGCGAGCGUUGUCCGGAAUUACUGGGUGAAAAGGGAGCGUAGGCGGGGCUGCAAGGUGGGUGUCAAAACUACGGGCUAAACUGGUAGUCGCAUCAAAGACUGCAGCUCUUGAGUGAAGGAGAGGCAGGCGGAAUUCCUAGUGUAGCGGUGAAAUGCGUAGAUAUUAGGAGGAACACCAGUGGCGAAGGCGGCCUGCUGGGCUUUUACUGACGCUGAGGCUCGAAAGUGUGGGGAGCAAACAGGAUUAGAUACCCUGGUAGUU
RNAcentral lists this ribosomal RNA (440 nucleotides) under uncultured bacterium. Its description in RNAcentral is "partial 16S ribosomal RNA". It matches the Rfam family "Bacterial small subunit ribosomal RNA", at positions 338 to 795 of the family's 1533-position model. The record is from RNAcentral.